Molecule: ribosomal RNA, 217 nt
Filed under: uncultured bacterium
Lineage: Bacteria
Description: partial 16S ribosomal RNA
Rfam family: Bacterial small subunit ribosomal RNA
Source: RNAcentral
ACGCUCGACACCAGGCAGCAGUAGGGAAUCUUCCACAAUGGACGCAAGUCUGAUGGAGCAACGCCGCGUGAGUGAAGAAGGUCUUCGGAUCGUAAAACUCUGUUGUUAGAGAAGAACACGAGUGAGAGUAACUGUUCAUUCGAUGACGGUAUCUAACCAGCAAGUCACGGCUAACUACGUGACAGCAGCCGCGGUAAUCUGAGCGGGCUGGCAAGGC